UCAUUUUUUGUAAGAAAUUUUCCAUAUUGAUAUCUGAUCCUGGAGCUCUAUAAAUGCAGCUUAUAAUUAUAUUUUUUGAUUUUUUACAUUUAAUUUCAACUGUAACACAUUCCAUGAU
Thalassophryne amazonica is the source of this 118-nucleotide long non-coding RNA. RefSeq lists it as uncharacterized. The record is from RefSeq and is a predicted model, not a curated record. Lineage: Eukaryota; Metazoa; Chordata; Actinopteri; Batrachoidiformes; Batrachoididae. The transcript has 3 exons.